Solanum lycopersicum (tomato) is the source of this 2890-nucleotide non-coding RNA. The record is from RefSeq and is a predicted model, not a curated record. NCBI's taxonomy places the organism in Eukaryota, Viridiplantae, Streptophyta, Magnoliopsida, Solanales, Solanaceae.
UAUUAUAUUAUCUUCGACGAAUUUAAUUCUCCCUCUCAUUUUUAUUUGACAAAAAAAACUAAUAAAAAAACACUCUGAGUCUCAUGUAUAUGAAAGAGUCCUCUCAUCGUCAUCCUUAAAACCUAGCCGCAAUAACACCCAUAGGAUCUUAGAUGCCAAUUAAUUCUCGAAGGUAUGAUUGAAUUUUAAACCUCAAAUUUCAGUUUUUGAUUUAAAUCAUGAGAACCUCUCAAAUGCACAGGUACGGGGUACACAUUUCUUAGGUGUUCUUUUCUGAUUCUGAUUUUCAUUUUUAUAUGUGUUGCUUGUAAUUUUUUUAUAUUCAAUUCUCUUACUCUUACUAUAUUUAAUGUUGAUACAUCUUCUAAUGGGCCACAAAACAAAAUUGUAAGUCUUAUGGAGGGACAUAUUUGGAUCGAAAGUCAAACUCCUGGCAAGGGGUGACUCUGAGUUUGCUAUAUUUUUCAAUAAACUUGGUGUUCCUGGACAUGUAAGUGAAUAUAAGCACCCCAUUAUGACAAACUUGCCAGCAAAUCAGGCAUGAGUUUGUAAUGAUUAAAGGUUUUGGUCAUGGAUGAAUGGGUGAGUACUAUCUGAAGCGCAAAUGGCAAGAUUUAGCCAUGGUUAUUUGAUUUUUGUUCUGAUGUGUUCUUUUUCGACAUAAUUUGUUUAAAGUUGGAGUAAAAAUAAAGAGUUCUUACUUAUGGCGAUUAGAAUUUUGUUCUAGUGUUCUUUAGUUACCAGUUAUAUGUUUGACUAAAAAUGGUUAGUGUUUCAUUGAGUAUGUUUGGAUAUUCGUUCUAAUGUUCUUUGUAUUUGCUUAAUCUAUUAAAACUUGUAGCGCAAAUUAGGUUUUAGUUAUAACUAUUCAAAGCGAGUUUUUAGCUAUGUGAUUUGGAACUUGUUCUAAUGUUCUCUCCAUUAACGUAAUUUGCUAAAAGAUGGAGUGAAAAUUUGGAGUUUUUUGCCAUGGAGUUCUUACUUGUAUUGAGUACCCCAAAUAGAUAUUGAGUUUUAAAUGUUACUUGCAUUGAGUUGUCUUACUAACUCUUUCAUGAACUGAACAUAAAAAUACAUAACAAGAGGUAAUCAUGGAAUGUAAAAUUUUUAAGAACACCACUGCUUGUGCUAUGUCUACAUAAGUGUAUGAAAUUAGAAUCUUAACAACUAUAUAUGGAUGUCGUGGUGACAUAUACAUAGGAAAGUAUGCCUUUAUCAAAUUGAUAGAAGGAUGGAAUGCAUGUAUCAAACUAGAAUGUGGCAGUUUUGUAUUCUCGUAAGUCCAUCACAUUAUAUGUAUCUUUGUAGGGUGAAAAACUCCUUUAGUGAAUACUUCUGAUAAUUUUUUUUGGCAUCUCGUUUCUAUUUUUACAACAGCAUCUGAUUUCAGUGGAGCUUAAUCAACAAUGUAUAUUUCUAUGAACACAAGAAGGACAACCUCUAGAAGAGUAGAAGAAGAGAUUGCUAAUGCGAGAGUUCCUACCUAAGGCAAUUGAGUUCCUCCUCAAUAUCAAGUUCCCAUGAAUGAUAAAGUUUCGGUUAAUCCUCUGCCCAUGACAGAUGGUGAUGUGAGGGCAUCCCUUCUCCAAAUGUCCAAGGCCAUCAUUACUUAAGCUCAAGCCAUAAUGGCACAAGCAAAUCGGGAGGUUGCACCACAAGAGAACAAAUAUUCUUGUACCAUGGCUACUCUUUUGAGAGAUUUAAUGAGGAUGAAUCCUCUUGUGUUCUUUGGAUUAAAGGUUGAUAAAGACCCCGAAGGAUUACUUGAUAAGGUCUAUAAGAUUUUGUUAGUUAUAAAGGUGAGUACUACUUAAAAUUUCAAGUUUGAUUCCAAUCAACUCAUGGACGUGGCUUAGACAUGGUACAAUCAAUGGAAGGAUAGUCGGUAUUUAGGAGGUGGUCCCGUCGCUUGGGAGAUCUUCAAGAAGGUCUUUCAUGAUAGGUUCUUCCUAAGGGAGCAAAGGGAAGAUAAGGUAGAGGAGUUCAUCAACUGACGUUAAGGAGGUAUUAGUGUUAAGGAAGACUCCUAAAAGUUCAUGAAGUUAUCCUAAAAUUCUUCCUCUUUGGUUUCAAAAUAUUGGAAUGCAAUGAGUUGUUAUGUAACAGGCAUGUUCGAAGAGCUUGAAAAAGAAUGUAGUGCAGCUAUGCUUCAUGGCAACAUGGAUCUUUCUAGGUUGAUGGUUUAUGCACAACAAGUAGAGAAGAGUCGUCUAAGGAAGUAUUAUAUAGAAGCUAAGAAGGCAAGGUCAUUUGAAAGUGGUUAUUCUAUGAAUAGGCUUGACAUUCGAGACAAGUAUAACUUCAAAAAGAGGUAUUCAAAGCAAGUUACUUCAAAUUUCUCCAACACUCUCAAUUAAAGGGUUUGUAACGCUAAUUCCCAAAAGGGGAGAAAUUUUUAUUCACUAAGAGAAAGACCUACUUGUGGAAAUAGUGGUAAGAAACAUGUGGGUGAAUGCCUCAUUGGAACAAAUAAUUGCUACAGUUGUGGCAAAAGUGGUCAUAUGGUGAAAGAUUGUAAUAAUGUGAAGGGUCAAGUAAAGGGGAAUAGCCAAGUUCUUCCAUGUGGUUCUAGCUCUGAAGCUCCAAAAAGGAACCGCUUUUAUGCACUCAAAUCUAUGAGUGAACAAGAGAUCUCUCCCGAUAUAGUUACCGGUCCGACCAUUGAACAAUAAAAAGGUCAAUUGAAUAAGCUUGGAAUUCUUUCUCCAUGUGUUGUUGGUUCCUCACAUUCGGGGAUACUAUUUUUUCAUUAUUCUACCAAUGAAGAUUGUAGUAAAUCAAGAGAUACAAUUUUAUUCCUUUUCCGUUGAACUCUAUUAGAGUAAGGCCUAUAUGGAAUAUUCAUAUUGUAUUGCCUAAGUUCAAGUUCGUACUCUUAAGAUGGUUUUUA